GUCGUAACAAGGUUUCCGUAGGUGAACCUGCGGAAGGAUCAUUACCACACCGAUCCACGAUCUUUCUUACCGCGAAGCGUGGUCCCGUUGGAAGCUAGUGGGUGUUGGUGGGAUGGAGUGCCUGUAUGUACAGGUGCUCCGUGUUGCCGCCCGCUGGUGGGACCACAACAUAAAGUGCUGCCAAUCUACCUGCAAGGGAUUCGGUUGGUGGCGCGCACCGUCACUUUUACGACGAUCACCGGUCUUGACCCAAACGAACUGAACCAAAAGGGUUGUUGUCGCUGUGUGCGUCAUGCGCAUCGUGACAGCAGCUCACCAAAGUAAAUCACUUACAACUUUCAGCGAUGGAUGUCUAGGUUCCCA
RNAcentral lists this unclassified non-coding RNA (363 nucleotides) under fungal sp. RNAcentral's name for it is "partial internal transcribed spacer region". The stretch from base 1 to 44 matches the Rfam family "Eukaryotic small subunit ribosomal RNA", at positions 1788 to 1831 of the family's 1831-position model. Lineage: Eukaryota; Fungi. The record is from RNAcentral.